RNAcentral lists this ribosomal RNA (496 nucleotides) under uncultured bacterium. RNAcentral describes it as "partial 16S ribosomal RNA". It matches the Rfam family "Bacterial small subunit ribosomal RNA", at positions 29 to 507 of the family's 1533-position model. The record is from RNAcentral.
AUGAACGCUGGCGGCGUGCCUCAUACAUGCAAGUCGAGCGCACAGAUGAGGAGCUUGCUCCUCUGACGUUAGCGGCGGACGGGUGAGUAACACGUGGAUAACCUACCUAUAAGACUGGGAUAACUUCGGGAAACCGGAGCUAAUACCGGAUAAUAUAUUGAACCGCAUGGUUCAAUAGUGAAAGACGGUUUUGCUGUCACUUAUAGAUGGAUCCGCGCCGCAUUAGCUAGUUGGUAAGGUAACGACUUACCAAGGCAACGAUGCGUAGCCGACCUGAGAGGGUGAUCGGCCACACUGGAACUGAGACACGGUCCAGACUCCUACGGGAGGCAGCAGUAGGGAAUCUUCCGCAAUGGGCGAAAGCCUGACGGAGCAACGCCGCGUGAGUGAUGAAGGUCUUCGGAUCGUAAAACUCUGUUAUUAGGGAAGAACAAAUGUGUAAGUAACUAUGCACGUCUUGACGGUACCUAAUCAGAAAGCCACGGCUAACUACGUG